UACGUAACACAAAAAUUAUUUUCAGAGAAUACUUUUGUUUUAAUUACAUAUAUAUCAUUAUUUAUGUGAUCGAGAGGCGACACCAAACAUUUGAUUUAUAUCGUUUGUUUGAUUUAUAUCGUAUUCUUUACUCGGAUUUAGAAUAAUUAUUUGAAGUAGUUACAACAAAUUAGCAAUUCAAAUUCGAAAUGAUCUAAAGAAAAAAACAAUAACGAUUAACUUAUUAUUUCGAAUAGAGAAGGGAUGAGAGAGAGAGAGAGAAAAAGGUAUCUCGAUAGGUGUGGUAAGAGGAGGAGACAAGGGAAAGAGAUUGGCACUUGCUUCUCUGCGCUCUCUUCGUUGCUCCACCUUCCCACCAUUUUCUUGUUUAUUUUAUUUCUCUUCUUUCUUUACACGCCACACCUAAACGACUCCAUUUCCCAUUACUUCACUAAAUAUAUAUUUCAAAUUUUGAUACUAGUGAUCCAUUUCACUUUACAAAUAAGUAUUAUUUUUACCUUUUUUUGGGGAAAGAAUUACACUGAAGAUCACAUUUCACUUAUUUAUAAUAUUUUGAGUCACUUUCUACCAUUCACACAUUUUCUUUAACUUUUAUCUCAUAUUUAGUUAAGUUUGUCAACUAAAACAGAACCAUAUUAUAAUUAAUGGGUCUUAUUUCUCUUUUCUCUCUCUUUCUCUUUAUCUUUUUGUGGACUCUUUCUUCUUAAUCUUUAUCAAAUCUGUUUCUUUUUUUUUUCUCUAAAGCUAGUAUGAGAUUUUUUUUGGUAAAACCAUUGUCUCAUGAUUCAGAGAUACGAUUAUGUUGUGCACGCACCUUAACCUCUUUUGUAUGUGGGAUCUCAUGUGAGGCCCAACAUAGAUAUUUUCUUCAUGAAUCUACUUUCAUCUCUUCAUUCACUCUUAGUCCCUUUCUAGAAAUUCGAAGUUGUCGUCCGACUACAAAAUUAAUUGAUGCAAAAGCGACCGCGCCUGAAAUGGAGGCGGAAUAGCCGAUGGUUGGACUGGGACCGGCACUAUGGGUCAAACGCAAGUGUCCGCUUCAGUACGAGCAGCUUAUCUUGAUUCGCUUCCUUCUGCGAACAUGUGUACAUGUUCAAAGGUGUACAUGUGGAUUUGGUCAAAAUGAUGCACACGUGGAUACAUUUUUUUCCUGUACAUACUGUUGAAACAUGUAUCGUGUGUACUAGCUUUGUAAAUGUUUAAGUUUUCAUUGUAUCGUGAAGAUGUUCAUUCAGAUCUUUUAUUUACUAACUUUAUAAAUUUACCACUAUGUCAUUGUAUAGUAGUAAAUUGCUCAUCUGGAUCUUUUGUGUACAUGUGUACACACUGAUAUUUUGUGUAUAUUACGGUGUCCAUGUGGAUAUUAAUAAGGGAAA
Molecule: long non-coding RNA, 1376 nt
Organism: Brassica napus (rape)
Lineage: Eukaryota; Viridiplantae; Streptophyta; Magnoliopsida; Brassicales; Brassicaceae
Exons: 2
Source: RefSeq, a predicted model, not a curated record